AAAAAAUCUCACUCUCUGAAUCAAGAACUGUCUAAGAGGGCCACUACUCACAACAGAAAGAGGGAAAAAAAUGGCUUUGCCAAACCAGCAGACCGUCGAUUAUCCAAGCUUCAAGCUUGUAAUUGUUGGCGAUGGUGGAACGGGAAAAACAACAUUUGUGAAAAGACAUCUUACUGAGGAGUUUGAGAAGAAAUACGAACGUAAGUCUAAUUUCAUCUUUUGGGCUCUUUCCUUGGUGGUAAGGAAGGAUUAAAACCUUGUUCGGUGAUGUGGUACAAGCUUGACAUAGCAGGGUUUGUGGGUCUUGGGUUCGAGGAGAAGAGGAGUAGAACCAUGUCCUACGGAGACUGCUCUGAAGCCGCU
Molecule: long non-coding RNA, 363 nt
Organism: Juglans microcarpa x Juglans regia
Lineage: Eukaryota; Viridiplantae; Streptophyta; Magnoliopsida; Fagales; Juglandaceae
Exons: 3
Source: RefSeq, a predicted model, not a curated record